This 3138-nucleotide unclassified non-coding RNA is filed under the name Leishmania donovani. Its description in RNAcentral is "gene:LdHU3.30.3890(CDS-product:mitogen-activated_ protein_kinase_putative)". The record is from RNAcentral. Lineage: Eukaryota; Euglenozoa; Kinetoplastea; Trypanosomatida; Trypanosomatidae.
UCGCGGACGACGACAGCACAAAAGGGAAAUUGUAGCACACACAGAGAGAGAGACGCACAUACUGGCAAAGGCUUCGGCAGACAAUUAGAUUCCUCUCCUUCCCUCCCUCCUACACGCUCACACCUACGCCGGACAGCUCCCACGCGCCACACCUCUGAACUCUACUUGUUCGGGGCCUCGCCCCUUCUUUCCUCUACACAGGCUCACACACGCACACAUUCAAGCACACUCACUACGCCUCGCGAGGAUCCGGACACGCCCUAAGUCACCUCCUCCGAACCGUUUUUUUCCUUUGCUCUCUCCACUUCUUAUCGUGUAUCACAGGUGUGUUACGCGCCUCUUUUGUCCCCUCGCCUGCCCGUUCCCCCAUCUGCGUGACCGACACUCUUCAUGUGUGCUCUCCCUCCAUCUCACGGUGGCUGUGUACGUUCGAGUGAGUAUCAUCUUGCACUCUUCGUUGCUUCGCGUCCUUUUGCCGCCGCGUGAUUCCCUGCACGGUGCGAGCUGUCCUCGACUUUGUUUUGCUUUUGUGCGUGCCUCGGGGCUUGCCAGCUACCUUUCCCUCCCCUCCGUAUCUCGCAUAGUCGUGGGGGCUGACGUCGACGCCCUGCGGUGGCGUGCGAGGAUGGCGUCCAACGCAGCCGCCAACGGUAGCUUUGGCUCCUCCGCCAAUGCAGUGCAGCUCGUCUCAACGCAGCGAGGCCGAAAGGUGUACUGCGUGCGAGGGCAGAGCUUCGACAUUGAUGACAACUACACCGUGACGAGCGUGAUCGGGCACGGCGCAUACGGUGUGGUGUGCGCUGCGUUAGACGACCGCACGUUCCAAGAGGUGGCAAUAAAGCGCGUGAGUCGCGUGUUUGAAGACUUGAUCGAUGGCCGCCGCAUAUGGCGCGAGAUACUCCUUCUGCGCAUCCUUAAAGAGUGUGGGUGUCGCAACGUUCUCCGGCUGAUUCGUGUGCUGCCACCGCGAGACCCCAUCAUGGAGUUUCGUGACCUGUACUUGGUGACGGACCUCUAUGACAUUGAUCUUUUCUCUAUCAUUCGUCAGAACAAGUGCGAGUCAAUAGACCUGUUGCGGCGCAUCAGCGUUCGUGUGCUUCGGUGUCUGGCGGACAUGCACUCUAUGGGCAUAGUGCAUCGUGACAUCAAGCCCAGCAAUAUUCUGUUGCGUGACGAGAAGAAUGCCGAGGAGGCGAUAGUAUGCGACUUUGGUUUAGCGCGCGCCGGCCUGCACAGAUUGAGUGAGCCGCUAGACUUGACCGACUACGUCGUCACCCGGUGGUACCGCCCACCGGAGCUGUUGCUCAUGUGUCCGUACAGCUACCCGAUCGACAUUUGGGCGGUCGGCUGCGUCAUGGCCGAGUACGCUAUGCAGCGACCAUUGUUCGCCGGUCGCGACUAUAUUCACCAGCUUCAGUUUGUGCUCUCUAGCAUUCCAAUCACUGGGGUCGACUUCAUCGAACGUAGCAGUAGCAGCUCCGGACUGGCCAAUAUGAACGAAAUUGCCAAGAAGUACAAGGGCACCCGUCCGCUGCCGCAGCUGCUGUCGAAGCUGCCAAAGGAUGGGCUGGAACUGGUCACGGAAAUGCUCGCCUUCGAGCCGAACAAGCGCAUUACCGCGCAGGAGGCGCUCAAGCACCCGUUCUUCAGCAGCGUUGGUGGACCGGAUUGCAAGUCCUACCCAGCCCCUCCCGAGCUAGACCUCGGCUUCGACAUGCACGCGGAGGUUUCCGAGUGCCAGCUGCGCCGCGCCAUCUGGGACGAGUUGCAGUAUUACAGAAAGUAGUAGUGCAUCGUCAGCAGUAUGCCCUAGGCAGACGCACUCACACAUACUUGCACACACACACACACACACACACACACACACACACACACGCAUGCGCUAACAAGCUCGCGCCGUUAACAACGAAGAGAGGCACACCUGCGUUUUUCAUGAUGCGCGCAUGCGUGUGCGCGUGUGUGUUGGAAGAGGGGUGGGUGGGGUGGAGGCACGCCGGGCCUUCUCUUUUUCCUUUUCUCGCUGUUUGCACAACACCGUUCAAGAGGCCAAUCUGAUGCGGUGUGGACGCGUGCCACGGAGGAAGAAGAGUGGCACUCGCGGUGUCGUGCUGCUUCGUAACGCAGACUCGCGUUGCAUGCCCGCUUGCCUUUUUCCUCCUUUUCGAUCCUCCCUUUUGGUGGCCAUGCUCACACUGGGCGAAAAGAGGGCAGCACGGAUGGGUGAACGCGGAAGGAGCGCUCGCAGGCACACGCACGCAAGCCCAGCCUGUGAUCUGCUCGCCUCAUGCGCCCACCACCGUCAUGCUUCUCACCCAUUCAGCUGCGUUUCCUGCUGUUUGUUUCUCUGCAGCUACGAGGAAAGGCUGUGGCAUAAUGUCGAUGUCGGAGUUGGCAAUUGAGUGGUGGCGACGGUGGUGGCAUGUGGAUGACGUGUGUGUGUGUGCAUGUGUGUACAUACCUGAGAGAAAGGGAGGUGAGGUAUGCGAAAUGGCUGGAAGCAUGCCGUCUGCCUCUCCCGUAUCCACUGUGUGACAGCGAAGUUGAAACGCUCCGUUGUGUGAUGUUUGAUUUCGUUGCUGCUGGGUCGUCGGCGGCUCCUUUUGUGUGGGUAUCUUACUCUCCUUGGGAUGCUAAAGCUUACGUGCCUCUCUCUCUCUCCCUGCCUACCUCUCCGCGCGCCUGUGUCGAGGGGCGGAAACGAAUGCGGAAAGGAGAGAUGGCCAGGAGAUUCGGGGAAGAAACAAAAAAAGAAGGCCCUAAGCGCACACAUAGACAGACAGUGAGACACACAUCCUCUGUCGUCGGCGGCCUUGUUUGGUCCCUGUAGAUUCUUCGAAUGAAGCUGAGGGGCGCAACCUUCACACACAAAUACACAGGUAUGUUCGUCAACAACACGCAAAGUAAAAACGAGGAGGGCACGCCGGUGAAGGAGGCGGCUGAUUGUUUCCGCUGUCUCUUACUCUCCCUCCCGCUCUCAUGUAGUCGCUGCACAGAGCGCCGGAACUACUGGAAUAAGGUGCCUUGCGACGACAGUCACUGCAGGUGUGCCUUUAGAUGAACUGGGGGGGGGUGAAAAGGGAUUGCAUGAUGGCGUUGGCUCGUAUGGCCGCAUGGCUCUGCCGUCGCAUGGUGUCGCAG